ACUCGGAAUGCCGCGAGACUUUGUGAGGGGCCUCCGUGUGCCAAAAAUAGGCCACGGGCAAAGCCAUGCCCAAACAUAACCGCCCGAAGGCCGUGGCGCCAAGUUCGUCCAACGGAAAAAGGCCACAAAAACGGGUGGGCUAUAACCUUGGGUGGUGGGGCUGGCCCACUUCGUCCGCCGGACUCGGAAUGCCACGAGUCUUUGCGAGGGGGCUCCGUGUGCCAAAAAUAGGCCGCGGCCAAAGCUGCGCCCAAAAAUAACCGCCCGAAGGCCGGGGCGCAAAGUUCGUCCAGCGGAAAAAGGCCACAAACACGGGUGGACUAUAGCUUUGGGGGGUGGGGCUGGCCAACUUCGUCCGCCGGACUCGGAAUGGUGCCAGAGUUUGCGAGGCGCCCCCGUGUGCCAGAAAUAGGCCACGGGCGCAGCAGCGCCCAAAAAUAACCGCCCGAAGGCCGGGCUGCCAAGUUCGUCCAGCGGUAAAAGGCCACAAAAACAGGCGGGCUAUAGCCUUGGGCGGUGGGGCUGGCCAACUUCGUCCGCCGGACUCGGAAUGCCGCGAGACUUUGCGAGGGGCCUCCGUGUGCCAAAAAUAGGCUGUGGGCAACGCCGUAUCCAAAAAUAACCUCUCGAAGGCCGGGGCGCCAAGUUCAUCCAGCGGAAAAAGGGGACAAAAACGGGUGGACUAUAGCCUUGGGGGGUGGGGCUCGCCAACUUCGUCCGCCGGACUCGGAAUGCCGCAAGCCUUUGCGAGGGGUCUCCGUGUGCCAAAAAUAGGCCGCGGGCAAAGCUGCGCCCGAGAAUAACGGCCCGAAGGCCGGGGCGCCAAGUUCGUCCAGCGGAAAAAGGCCACAAAAACGGGUGGGCUAUAGCCUUGAGGGGUGGGGCAGGCCAACUUCGUCCACCGGACUCGGAAUUCCGCGAGACUUUGCGAGGGGCCUCCGUGUGCCAAAAAUAGGCCGCGGGCACAGCCACGCCCAAAAAUAACCGCCAGAAGGCCGGGGCGCCAAGUUCGUCCAGCGGAAAAAGGCCACAAAAACUGGUGGGCUAUAGCCUUGGGGGGUGGGGCUGGCCCACUUCGUCCGCCAGACUCGGAAUGGCGCGAGACUUUGCGAGGCACCUCCGUGUGCCAAACAUUGGCCGCGGGCACCGCCGCGCCCAAAAAUAACCGCCCGAAGGCCGGGGCGCCAAGUUCGUCCAGCGGAAAAAGACCCCAAAAACGGGUGGGCUAUAGCCUUGGGGGGUGGGGCUGGCCAACUUCGUCUUCCGGACUCGGAAUGGUGCCAGACUUUGCAAGAUACCUCCGUGUGCCAAAAAUACACCGUGGGCACAGGCGCGCCCAAAAAUAACCGUCCAAAGGCCGGGGUGCCAAGUUCGUCCAGCGGAAAAAGGCCCCAAAACGGGUGGGCUAUAGCCUUGGGGGGUGGGGCUGGCCAACUUCAUCCGCUGGACUCGGAAUGGCGUAAAACUUUGCGAGGCGCCUCCGUGUGCCAAAAAUAGGCCGCGGGCACAGCCGCGCCCAAAAUUAACCGCCCGAAGGCCGGGCCGCCAAGUUCGUCCAGCGGAAAAAGGCCACAAAAACGGGUGGGCUAUAGGCUUGGGGGGUGGGGCUGGCCAACUUCGUCCGCCGGACUCGGAAUGCCGCGAGACUUUGCGAGGCUCCUCCGUGUGUCAAAAUAGGCCGCGGGCACAGCCACACCCAAAAAUAACCGCCCGACGCCGGGGUGCCAAGUUCGUCCAGCGGAAAAGCCCCAAAACGGGUGGGCUAUAGCCUUGGGGGGUGGGGCUGGCCAACUUCUUCCGCCGACUUCGGAUGGGCGUGAUACUUUGCGAGGCGUCUCCGUGUACCAAAAAUAGGCCGCGGGCACAGCCACGCCCAAAAAUAACCGGCCGAAGGCUGGGGCGCCAAGUUUGUCCAGCGGAAAAAGCCCACAAAAACGGGUGGGCCAUAGCCUUGGGGGGUGGGGCUGACCAACUUCGUCCGCCGGACUCGGAUUGGCGCGAAACUUUGCGAGGCGACUCCGUGUGCCAAAAAUAGGCCGCGGGAAGAGCCGCGCCCAAAAUUAACCGCGCGAAGGCCGGGUCGCCGAGUUCGUCCAGCGGAAAAAGGCCACAAAAACGGGUGGGCUAUAGCCUUGGGGGGUGGGGCUGGCCAACUUCGUCCGCCGGACUCGGAAUGCCGCGAGACUUUGCGAGGUGCCUCCGUGUGCCAAAAAUAGGCCGCGGGCACAGCCGCGCCCAAAAAUAACCACCCGAAGGCCGGGGUGCCAAGUUCGUGCAGCGGAAAAAGGCCCCAAAAACGGGUGGGCUAUAGCCUUGGGGGGUGGGACUGGCCAACUUCAUCCGCUGCACUCGGAAUGGCGCGAAACUUUGCGAGGCGCCUCCAUGUGCAAAAAAUAGGCCGCGGGCACAGCCGCGCGGAAAAAUAACCGCCCGAAGGCCGGGGCGCCAAGUUCGUCCAGCGGAAAAUCCCACAAAAACGGGUGGGCUAUAGCCUUGGGGGGUGGGGCUGGCCAACUUCGUCCGCCGCACUCGGAUUGGCGCGAUACUUUGCGAGGCGACUCCGUGUGCCAAAAAUAGGCCGUGGGAAGAGCCGCGCCCAAAAUUAACCGCCCGAAGGCCGGUCCGCCAAGUUCGUCCUGCGGAAAUAGGCCACAAAAACGGGUGGGCUAUAGCCUUGGGGGUGGGGCUGGCCAACUUCGUCCGCCGGACUCGGAUUGGCGCGAUACUUUGCGAGGCGACUCCAUGUGCCAAAAAUAGGCCGCGGGCACAGCCGCGCCCAAAAAUAACCACCCGAAGGCCGGGGCGCCAAGUUCGUCCAGCGGAAAAAGGCCCCAAAAACGGGUGGGCUAUAGCCUUGGGGGGUGGGGCUGGCCAACUUCAUCCGCUGCACUCGGAAUGGCGCGAAACUUUGCGAGGCGCCUCCAUGUGCAAAAAAUAGGCCGCGGACACAGCCGCGCGGAAAAAUAACCGCCCGAAGGCCGGGGCGCCAAGUUCGUCCAGCGGAAAAUCCCACAAAAACGGGUGGGCUAUAGCCUUGGGGGGUGGGGCUGGCCAACAUCGUCCGCCGGACUCGGAUUGGCGCGAUACUUUGCGAGGCGUCUCCGUGUACCAAAAAUAGGCCGCGGGCACAGCCGUGCCCAAAAAUAACCGCCCGAAGGCCGGGGCGCCAAGUUCGUCCUGCGGAAAAAGCCCACAAAAACGGGUGGGCUAUAGCCUUGGGGGGUGGGGCUGGCCAACUUCGUCCGCCGGACUCGGAUUGGCGCGAUACUUUGCGAGGCGACUCCGUGUGCCAAAAAUAGGCCACGGGAAGAGCCGCGCCCAAAAAUAACCGCCCGAAGGCCGGGCCGCCUAGUUCGUCCAGCGGAAAAAGGCCACAAAAACGGGUGGGCUAUAGCCUUGGGNNNNNNNNNNNNNNNNNNNNNNNNNNNNNNNNNNNNNNNNNNNNNNNNNNNNNNNNNNNNNNNNNNNNNNNNNNNNNNNNNNNNNNNNNNNNNNNNNNNNNNNNNNNNNNNNNNNNNNNNNNNNNNNNNNNNNNNNNNNNNNNNNNNNNNNNNNNNNNNNNNNNNNNNNNNNNNNNNNNNNNNNNNNNNNNNNNNNNNNNNNNNNNNNNNNNNNNNNNNNNNNNNNNNNNNNNNNNNNNNNNNNNNNNNNNNNNNNNNNNNNNNNNNNNNNNNNNNNNNNNNNNNNNNNNNNNNNNNNNNCCGGGCCGCCAAGUUCGUCCGCGGAAAAGGCCACAAAAACGGGUGGGCUAUAGGCUUGGGGGGUGGGGCUGGCCAACUUCGUCCGCCGGACUCGGAAUGCCGCGAGACUUUGCGAGGCUCCUCCGUGUGUCAAAAUAGGCCGCGGGCACAGCCACACCCAAAAAUAACCGCCCGAAGGCCGGGGUGCCAAGUUCGUCCAGCGGAAAAAGGCCCCAAAAACGGGUGGGCUAUAGCCUUGGGUGGUGGGGCUGGCCAACUUCGUCCGCCGGACUCGGAUUGGCGUGAUACUUUGCGAGGCGUCUCCGUGUACCAAAAAUAGGCCGCGGGCACAGCCACGCCCAAAAAUAACCGGCCGAAGGCCGGGGCGCCAAGUUUGUCCAGCGGAAAAAGCCCACAAAAACGGGUGGGCUAUAGCCUUGGGGGGUGGGGCUGACCAACUUCGUCCGCCGGACUCGGAUUGGCGCGAAACUUUGCGAGGCGACUCCGUGUGCCAAAAAUAGGCCGCGGGAAGAGCCGCGCCCAAAAUUAACCGCGCGAAGGCCGGGUCGCCGAGUUCGUCCAGCGGAAAAAGGCCACAAAAACUGGUGGGCUAUAGCCUUGGGGGGUGGGGCUGGCCAACUUCGUCCGCCGGACUCGGAAUGCCGCGAGACUUUGCGAGGUGCCUCCGUGUGCCAAAAAUAGGCCGCGGGCACAGCCGCGCCCAAAAAUAACCGCCCGAAGGCCGGGGCGCCAAGUUCGUCCAGCGGAAAAUCCCACAAAAACGGGUGGGCUAUAGCCUUGGGGGGUGGGGCUGGCCAACAUCGUCCGCCGGACUCGGAUUGGCGCGAUACUUUGCGAGGCGUCUCCGUGUACCAAAAUAGGCCGCGGGCACAGCCGCCGCCAAAAAUAACCGCCCGAAGGCCGGGGCGNNNNNNNNNNNNNNNNNNNNNNNNNNNNNNNNNNNNNNNNNNNNNNNNNNNNNNNNNNNNNNNNNNNNNNNNNNNNNNNNNNNNNNNNNNNNNNNNNNNNNNNNNNNNNNNNNNNNNNNNNNNNNNNNNNNNNNNNNNNNGAAGAGCCGCGCCCAAAAUUAACCGCACGAAGCCCGGGCCGCCAAGUUCGUCCAGCGGAAAAAGGCCACAAAAACGGGGGGGGCUAUAGGCUUGGGGGGUGGGGCUGGCCAACUUCGUCCGCCGGACUCGGAAUGCCGCGAGACUUUACGAGGCCCCUCCGUGUUCCAAAAUAGGCCGCGGGCACAGCCACACCCAAAAAUAACCGCCCGAAGGCCGGGGUGCCAAGUUCGUCCAGCGGAAAAAGGCCCCAAAAAUGGGUGGGCUAUAGCCUUGGGGGGUGGGGCUGGCCAACUUCGUCCGCCGGACUCGGAUUGGCGUGAUACUUUGCAAGGCGUCUCCGUGUACCAAAAAUAGGCCGCGGGCACAGCCACGCCCAAAAAUAACCGGCCGAAGGCCGGGGCGCCAAGUUCGUCCAGCGGAAAAAGCCCACAAAAACGGGUGGGCUAUAGCCUUGGGGGGUGGGGCUGACCAACUUCGUCCGCCGGACUCGGAUUGGCGCGAAACUUUGCGAGGCGACUCCGUGUGCCAAAAAUAGGCCGCGGCAAGAGCCGUGCCCAAUAUUAACCGCGCGAAGGCCGGGUCGCCGAGUUCGUCCAGCGGAAAAAGGCCACAAAAACGGGUGGGCUAUAGCCUUGGGGGGUGGGGCUGGCCAACUUCGUCCGCCGGACUCGGAAUGCCGCGAGACUUUGUGAGGUGCCUCCGUGUGCCAAAAAUAGGCCGCGGGCACAGCCGCGCCCAAAAAUAACCGCCCGAAGGCCGGGGUGCCAAGUUCGUCCAGCGGAAAAAGGCCCCAAAAACGGGUGGGCUAUAGCCUUGGGGGGUGGGGCUGGCCAACUUCAUCCGCUGCAUUCGGAAUGGCGCGAAACUUUGUGAGGCGUCUCCAUGUGCAAAAAAUAGGCCGCGGGCACAGCCGCGUGGAAAAAUAACCGCCCGAAGGCCGGGGCGCCAAGUUCGUCCAGCGGAAAAUCCCACAAAAACGGGUGGGCUAUGGCCUUGGGGGGUGGGGCUGGCCAACUUCGUCCGCCGCACUUGGAAUGGCGCGAGACUUUGCGAGGUGCCUCCGUGUGCCAAAAAUAGGCCGCGGGCACAGCCGCGGCCAAAAAUAACCGCCCGAAGGCUGGGGCACCAAGUUCGUCCAGCGGAAAAAGGCCCCAAAAACGGGUGGGCUAUAGCCUUGGGGGGUGGGGCUGGCCAACUUCAUCUGCUGGGCUCGGAAUGGCGCGAAACAUUUCGAGGUGCCUCCGUGUGCCAAAAAUAGGCCGCAGGCACAGCCUUGCCAAAAAAUAACCCCCCGAAGGCCGGGGCGCCACGUUCGUCCAGCGGAAAAAGCCCACAAAAACGGGUGGGCGAUAGCCUUGGGGGGUGGGACUGGCCAACUUCGUCCGCCGGACUCGGAUUGGCGCGAUACUUUGCGAGGCGUCUCCGUGUACCAAAAAUAGGCCGCGGGCACAGCCGUGCCCAAAAAUAACCGCCCGAAGGCCGGGGCGCCAAGUUCGUCCUGCGGAAAAAGCCCACAAAAACGGGUGGGCUAUAGCCUUGGGGGGUGGGGCUGGCCAACUUCGUCCGCCGGACUCGGAUUGGCGCGAUACUUUGCGAGGCGACUCCGUGUGCCAAAAAUAGGCCCCGGGAAGAGCCGCGCCCAAAAAUAACCGGCCGAAGGCCGGGCCCCCAAGUUCGUCCAGCGGAAAAAGGCCACAAAAACGGGUGGGCUAUAGGCUUCGGGGGUGGGGCUGGCCAACUUCGUCCGCCGGACUCGGAAUGCCGCGAGACUUUACGAGGCGCCUCCGUGUGCCAAAAUAGGCCGCGGGCACAGCCACACCCAAAAAUAACCGCCCGAAGGCCGGGGUGCCAAGUUCGUCCAGCGGAAAAAGGCCCCAAAAACGGGUGGGCUAUAGCCUUGGGGGGUGGGGCUGGCCAACUUCGUCCGCCGGACUCGGAUUGGCGCGAAACUUUGCGAGGCGACUCCGUGUGCCAAAAAUAGGCCGCGGGAAGAGCCGCGCCCAAAAUUAACCGCGCGAAGGCCGGGUCGCCGAGUUCGUCCAGCGGAAAAAGGCCACAAAAACGGGUGGGCUAUAGGCUUGGGGGGUGGGGCUGGCCAACUUCGUCCGCCGGACUCGGAAUGCCGCGAGACUUUACGAGGCGCCUCCAUGUGCCAAAAUAGGCCGCGGGCACAGCCACACCCAAAAAUAACCGCCCGAAGGCCGGGGUGCCAAGUUCGUCCAGCGGAAAAAGGCCCCAAAAACGGGUGGGCUAUAGCCUUGGGGGGUGGGGCUGGCCAACUUCGUCCGCCGGACUCGGAUUGGCGCGAAACUUUGCGAGGCGACUCCGUGUGCCAAAAAUAGGCCGCGGGCACAGCCACGCCCAAAAAUAACCGGCCGAAGGCCGGGGUGCCAAGUUCGUCCAGCGGAAAAAGGCCCCAAAAACGGGUGGGCUAUAGCCUUGGGGGGUGGGGCUGGCCAACUUCGUCCGCCGGACUCGGAUUGGCGUGAUACUUUGCGAGGCAUCUCCGUGUACCAAAAUAGGCCGCGGGCACAGCCACGUCCAAAAAUAACCGGCCGAAGGCCGGGGCGCCAAGUUCGUCCAGCGGAAAAAGCCCAAAAAAACGGGUGGGCUAUAGCCUUGGGGGGUGGGGCUGACCAACUUCGUCCGCCGGACUCGGAUUGGCGCGAAACUUUGCGAGGCGACUCCGUGUGCCAAAAAUAGGCCGCGGGAAGAGCCGCGCCCAAAAUUAACCGCGCGAAGGCCGGGUCGCCGAGUUCGUCCAGCGGAAAAAGGCCACAAAAACGGGUGGGCUAUAGCCUUGGGGGGUGGGGCUGGCCAACUUCGUCCGCCGGACUCGGAAUGCCGCGAGACUUUGUGAGGUGCCUCCGUGUGCCAAAAAUAGGCCGCGGGCACAGCCGCGCCCAAAAAUAACUGCCCGAAGGCCGGGGUGCCAAGUUCGUCCAGCGGAAAAAGGCCCCAAAAACGGGUGGGCUAUAGCCUUGGGGGGUGGGGCUGGCCAACUUCAUCCGCUGCAUUCGGAAUGGCGCGAAACUUUGCGAGGCGCCUCCAUGUGCAAAAAAUAGGCCGCGGGCACAGCCGCGUGGAAAAAUAACCGCCCGAAGGCCGGGGCGCCAAGUUCGUCCAGCGGAAAAUCCAACAAAAACGGGUGGGCUAUGGCCUUGGGGGGUGGGGCUGGCCAACUUCGUCCGCCGCACUUGGAAUGGCGCGAGACUUUGCGAGGUGCCUCCGUGUGCCAAAAAUAGGCCGCGGGCACAGCCGCGCCCAAAAAUAACCGCCCGAAGGCUGGGGCGCCAAGUUCGUCCAGCGGAAAAAGGCCCCAAAAACGGGUGGGCUAUAGCCUUGGGGGGUGGGGCUGGCCAACUUCAUCUGCUGGGCUCGGAAUGGCGCGAAACAUUUCGAGGUGCCUCCGUGUGCCAAAAAUAGGCCGCAGGCACAGCCGUGCCAAAAAAUAACCCCCCGAAGGCCGGGGCGCCACGUUCGUCCAGCGGAAAAAGCCCACAAAAACGGGUGGGCGAUAGCCUUGGGGGGUGGGACUGGCCAACUUCGUCCGCCGGACUCGGAUUGGCGCGAUACUUUGCGAGGCGUCUCCGUGUACCAAAAAUAGGCCGCGGGCACAGCCAUGCCCAAAAAUAACCGCCCGAAGGCCGGGGCGCCAAGUUCGUCCUGCGGAAAAAGCCCACAAAAACGGGUGGGCUAUAGCCUUGGGGGGUGGGGCUGGCCAACUUCGUCCGCCGGACUCGGAUUGGCGCGAUACUUUGCGAGGCGACUCCGUGUGCCAAAAAUAGGCCACGGGAAGAGCCGCGCCAAAAAAUAACCGGCCGAAGGCCGGGCCGCCAAGUUCGUCCAGCGGAAAAAGGCCACAAAAACGGGUGGGCUAUAGGCUUCGGGGGUGGGGCUGGCCAACUUCGUCCGCCGGACUCGGAAUGCCGCGAGACUUUACGAGGCGCCUCCGUGUGCCAAAAUAGGCCGCGGGCACAGCCACACCCAAAAAUAACCGCCCGAAGGCCGGGGUGCCAAGUUCGUCCAGCGGAAAAAGGCCCCAAAAACGGGUGGGCUAUAGCCUUGGGGGGUGGGGCUGGCCAACUUCGUCCGCCGGACUCGGAUUGGCGCGAAACUUUGCGAGGCGACUCCGUGUGCCAAAAAUAGGCCGCGGGCACAGCCACGCCCAAAAAUAACCGGCCGAAGGCCGGGGUGCCAAGUUCGUCCAGCGGAAAAAGGCCCCAAAAACGGGUGGGCUAUAGCCUUGGGGGGUGGGGCUGGCCAACUUCGUCCGCCGGACUCGGAUUGGCGUGAUACUUUGCGAGGCAUCUCCGUGUCCCAAAAAUAGGCCGCGGGCACAGCCACGCGCAAAAAUAACCGGCCGAAGGCCGGGGCGCCAAGUUCGUCCAGCGGAAAAAGCCCACAAAAAAGGGUGGGCUAUAGCCUUUGGGGGUGGGGCUGACCAACUUCGUCCGCCGGACUUGGAUUGGCGCGAAACUUUGCGAGGCGACUCCGUGUGCCAAAAAUAGGCCGCGGGAAGAGCCGCGCCCAAAAUUAACCGCGCGAAGGCCGGGUCGCCGAGUUCGUCCAGCGGAAAAAGGCCACAAAAACGGGUGGGCUAUAGCCUUGGGGGGUGGGGCUGGCCAACUUCGUCCGCCGGACUCGGAAUGCCGCGAGACUUUGUGAGGUGCCUCCAUGUGCCAAAAAUAGGCCGCGGGCACAGCCGCGCCCAAAAAUAACCGCCCGAAGGCCGGGGUGCCAAGUUCGUCCAGCGGAAAAAGGCCCCAAAAACGGGUGGGCUAUAGCCUUGGGGGGUGGGGCUGGCCAACUUCAUCCGCUGCACUCGGAAUGGCGCGAAACUUUGCGAGGCGCCUCCAUGUGCAAAAAAUAGGCCGCGGGCACAGCCGCGCGGAAAAAUAACCGCCCGAAGGCCGGGGCGCCAAGUUCGUCCAGCGGAAAAUCCCACAAAAACGAGUGGGCUAUAGCCUUGGGGGGUGGGGCUGGCCAACUUCGUCCGCCGGACUCGGAAUGGCGCGAGACUUUGCGAGGUCCCUCCGUGUGCCAAAAAUAGGCCGUGGGCACAGCCGCGCCCAAAAAUAACCGCCCGAAGGCCGGGACGCCAAGUUCGUCCAGCGGAAAAAGGCCAUAAAAACGGGUGGGCUGUAGCCGUGGGGGGUGGGGCUGGCCAACUUCGUCCGCCGGACUCGGAAUGGCGAGAGACUUUGCGAGGCGCCUCCGUGUGCCAAAAAUAGGCCGCGGGAACAGCCGCGCCCAAAAAUAACCGCCCGAAGGUUGGGGCGCCAAGUUCGUCCAGCGGAAAAACGCCACAAAAACGGGUGGGCUAUAGCCUUGGGGGGUGGGGCUGGCCAACUUCGUCCGCCGGACUCGGAAUGGCGCGAGACUUUGCGAGGCCCCUCCGUGUGCCAAAAAGAGGCCGCGGGCACAGCCGCACCCAAAAAUAACCGCUCGAAGGCCGGGGCGCCAAGUUCGUCCUGCGUAAAAAGGCCACAAAAACGGGUGGGCUAUAGCCUUCGGGGGUGGGGCUGGCCAACUUCGUCCGCCGGACUCGGAAUGGCGCGAGACUUUGCGAGGCGCCUCCGUGUGCCAAAAAUAGGCUGCGGGCACAGACGCGCCCAAAAAUAACCUCCCGAAGGCUGGNNN
RNAcentral lists this long non-coding RNA (10393 nucleotides) under Citrus x clementina. RNAcentral's name for it is "Citrus clementina (C. clementina) long non-coding RNA (CCLE_LNC006200)". The record is from RNAcentral. Lineage: Eukaryota; Viridiplantae; Streptophyta; Magnoliopsida; Sapindales; Rutaceae.